This 691-nucleotide long non-coding RNA is filed under the name Heterocephalus glaber (naked mole-rat). RNAcentral describes it as "lncRNA (ENSHGLG00000049447.1)". Lineage: Eukaryota; Metazoa; Chordata; Mammalia; Rodentia; Bathyergidae. The record is from RNAcentral.
GCACUUUUUCCGCACUCCGGCACCCUCCCGCCUGUAGAUUUGGGCCUUUUCUCACACCAGGGACUGGCAGAGCGCGCAGGCGCGGUGCACACAAGGCCGUGGAGCAGACGUUAGAUCUCAAGAUGCCCCCCUUCCCACCCCCAUGGUCAGUUCUGUGCACACAUCUCUCACAGCAGAGAACAGGGAAGGGCCAGCAGGGGUAGGGGCUGCUUUUGUUCACCAAGCCCCAUUUCAUCCAGAAUGCCAAUGCAUAUGGAGCUCCAGAGUUCUGGAACUAGGCGAACAUACAAGUGGAGGCUUCAGCUAGCCUCAGAUGGAAGAUGGAGGCAGGAAGGACAUCAGAGCCCAGGAGGGCAACUGGAGCCACAGGCUGCCUCUCUCCCAGCAGCUCUACGAAGUUCUGGCUGAAAAGUUAUCCCAGACAACUACAUGUGAUGUGGAAGAACACGAACACUGGUAUCCACUGUGGGCACCUUACAUUCUUUAUGCCACCUAAUAUGGCCAAGAGACAGACAUGUAUGUGUACCCACGGAGGGAACAGAUUCAAGAGGCCAAGGGACUUACCCUAGGCCAGCACACCUGCAGCUGGAGUUCAAGUGCACAUUUCCCCUCUCAGGCUUUGGCUCUACCUUUUGCAAAUAAAGGCUGGCCACCCAUGUGAGCCAACUAAAAUAACCUUCCCUCCCCAGAC